Molecule: transfer RNA, 71 nt
Filed under: Camelus bactrianus (Bactrian camel)
Lineage: Eukaryota; Metazoa; Chordata; Mammalia; Artiodactyla; Camelidae
Also listed under: 2 other names
Rfam family: tRNA
About the family: Transfer RNA (tRNA) molecules are approximately 80 nucleotides in length.
Source: Rfam by way of RNAcentral
GCGGGUCUAGCUCUGUGGUAGAGUGCGUGCUUAGCAUGCAUGAGGUCCUGGGUUCAAUCCCCAGUCCCUCC